GACGAACACUGGCGGCGUGCUUAACACAUGCAAGUCGAACGGAAAGGUCCGGCGUUUGUGGGGUUCUCGAGUGGCGAACGGGUGAGUAACACGUGAGUAACCUGCCCUUGACUGUGGGAUAACUUCAGGAAACUGCGGCUAAUACCGGAUAGGAGCUCCUGCUGCACGGUGGGGGUUGGAAAGUGUCGGCGGUUGGGGCUGUCCUCGCGGCUUAUCAGCUUGUUUGUGGGGUAGUGGCUUACCAAGGCUUUGACGGGUAGCCGGCCUGAGAGGGUGACCGGCCACAUUGGGACUGAGAUACGGCCCAGAAUGCUACGGGCGGCAGCAGUGGGGAAUAUUGCACAAUGGGCGGACGCCUGAUGCAGCAACGCCGCGUGCGGGAUGACGGCCUUCGGGUUGUAAACCGCUUUCGCCUGUGCCGAAGAGUGAGUGACGGUAAUGGGUAAAGAAGCCACGGCUAACUACGUG
Molecule: ribosomal RNA, 468 nt
Filed under: uncultured bacterium
Lineage: Bacteria
Description: partial 16S ribosomal RNA
Rfam family: Bacterial small subunit ribosomal RNA
Source: RNAcentral